Molecule: ribosomal RNA, 715 nt
Filed under: uncultured Bacillus sp.
Lineage: Bacteria; Bacillati; Bacillota; Bacilli; Caryophanales; Bacillaceae
Description: bacterial SSU rRNA
Rfam family: Bacterial small subunit ribosomal RNA
Source: RNAcentral
CCGCGUGAGCGAUGAAGGUUUUCGGAUCGUAAAGCUCUGUUGUUAGGGAAGAACAAGUAUCGUUCGAAUAGGGCGGUACCUUGACGGUACCUAACCAGAAAGCCACGGCUAACUACGUGCCAGCAGCCGCGGUAAUACGUAGGUGGCAAGCGUUAUCCGGAAUUAUUGGGCGUAAAGCGCGCGCAGGCGGUCCUUUAAGUCUGAUGUGAAAGCCCACGGCUCAACCGUGGAGGGUCAUUGGAAACUGGGGGACUUGAGUGCAGAAGAGGAGAGCGGAAUUCCACGUGUAGCGGUGAAAUGCGUAGAGAUGUGGAGGAACACCAGUGGCGAAGGCGGCUCUCUGGUCUGUAACUGACGCUGAGGCGCGAAAGCGUGGGGAGCGAACAGGAUUAGAUACCCUGGUAGUCCACGCCGUAAACGAUGAGUGCUAAGUGUUGGAGGGUUUCCGCCCUUCAGUGCUGCAGCUAACGCAUUAAGCACUCCGCCUGGGGAGUACGGUCGCAAGACUGAAACUCAAAGGAAUUGACGGGGGCCCGCACAAGCGGUGGAGCAUGUGGUUUAAUUCGAAGCAACGCGAAGAACCUUACCAGGUCUUGACAUCCUCUGACNAUCCUAGAGAUAGGACUUUCCCUUCGGGGACAGAGUGACAGGUGGUGCAUGGUUGUCGUCAGCUCGUGUCGUGAGAUGUUGGGUUAAGUCCGCAACGAGCGCAACC